GACGAACGCUGGCGGCGUGCUUAACACAUGCAAGUCGAACGGAAAGGCCCUGCUUUUGUGGGGUGCUCGAGUGGCGAACGGGUUAGUAACACGUGAGUAACCUGCCCUUGACUUUGGGAUAACUUCAGGAAACUGGGGCUAAUACCGGAUAGGAGCUCCUGCUGCAUGGUGGGGGUUGGAAAGUUUCGGUGGUUGGGGAUGGACUCGCGGCUUAUCAGCUUGUUGGUGGGGUAGUGGCUUACCAAGGCUUUGACGGGUAGCCGGCCUGAGAGGGUGACCGGCCACAUUGGGGCUGAGAUAGGGCCCAGACUCCUACGGGAGGCAGCAGUGGGGAAUAUUGCACAAUGGGCGGAAGCCUGAUGCAGCAACGCCGCGUGCGGGAUGACGGCCUUCGGGUUGUAAACCGCUUUCGCCGGUGACGAAGCGUGAGUGACGGUAAUGGGUAAAGAAGCACCGGCUAACUACGUG
This 468-nucleotide ribosomal RNA is filed under the name uncultured bacterium. Its description in RNAcentral is "partial 16S ribosomal RNA". It matches the Rfam family "Bacterial small subunit ribosomal RNA", at positions 28 to 507 of the family's 1533-position model. The record is from RNAcentral.